Long non-coding RNA from Peromyscus maniculatus bairdii (prairie deer mouse), 495 nucleotides. RefSeq lists it as uncharacterized. Lineage: Eukaryota; Metazoa; Chordata; Mammalia; Rodentia; Cricetidae. The record is from RefSeq and is a predicted model, not a curated record.
AGGAGCCCCACAGAGGGACGCCACGUGGCCACCCCAGACCCCGGGCCCCGGGUACAACUGGACAUGAGCAGCCGCAGCAUGCCGCCUAUUGAGGAGCCCAACCCCGCCAGCAUGCCAGCCCCCAGGUGCAGGGCUCAAAGUCCUGGCUGGUCUGGAACAUGUGUGUCUACGUUGGCCUUCAGUGCUCAGACGGAUGACAGUUCCUCAUGAGGAAGUCUCUACGGUCCGAUGUCCUGUCCUGUCAUCCCCACAAGGAGGCACCAGCUUAGCAGAAACAUCUGCUGCUGUCACCUGAGAGGCCAAGUGAAGUGGAAAGUGGACCACAGCCCACGUGGGACAAGAGCCCUGGUCUGGCUACAGCCCUGGCUCAACUGUUAAGAGUGCUUACUGCUCUUGCAGAGGUCCUGAGUUUGGUUCCCAGCCCCACGGCAGUGGCUCUCAGCUGCCUGUAACUCCAGCUCCAGGGAAUUAGGUGCCUCUUCUGCCUCCUCAAGC